UCCUAUAGAGCGGUUGCAUCGCGUGUCAUCCACCCACGCACAAAAGUUUUUGGAGGACAACCUCCAAAAACACAGGUGUAAACAAUGUAAAAGUACACGAAGAACUCGACACCAUUUGGCACAGUAGAACUAUGAUCCAGGAUACAGAGUGCUCUAGUAUUGUAACUGUAAGUCUACCUUAGCUUACAGAGAAGGCUGAGUGUACUAGCUGAACAAGCUGAGCUCUGUGUGAAGAUGGCUACCAUAAUUAUGUUCAAGUGAAGGUAGGAGUGCCCUGAUCAUCAUGCGUCAGGCAUCGAUCGAUCAUUGCUGGCUGGGAGGAUUGUGUGGGACACGAUCACCACAGUAUUAAAUUAAUAGAAUGAUGGAGACAAAAGUCAAGAUAAAAUUGACAUUGAUUAUCAUGUGUCAGUACAUGUAUUAAUUAUGUGCUCAGUGUAUAUACCUUUACCGACAUCGUCUCUGAAACAUUAAUAGUAAUUUUAAUAUGGGUCGA
Molecule: long non-coding RNA, 496 nt
Organism: Halichondria panicea
Lineage: Eukaryota; Metazoa; Porifera; Demospongiae; Suberitida; Halichondriidae
Exons: 3
Source: RefSeq, a predicted model, not a curated record